This 253-nucleotide ribosomal RNA is filed under the name uncultured bacterium. RNAcentral's name for it is "partial 16S ribosomal RNA". It matches the Rfam family "Bacterial small subunit ribosomal RNA", at positions 524 to 776 of the family's 1533-position model. The record is from RNAcentral.
UACGAAGGGGACUAGCGUUGUUCGGAAUUACUGGGCGUAAAGCGCACGUAGGCGGAUUUGUAAGUCAGGGGUGAAAUCCCGGGGCUCAACCUCGGAACUGCCUUUGAUACUGCAAAUCUCGAGUCCGAUAGAGGUGGGUGGAAUUCCUAGUGUAGAGGUGAAAUUCGUAGAUAUUAGGAAGAACACCGGUGGCGAAGGCGGCCCACUGGAUCGGUACUGACGCUGAGGUGCGAAGGCGUGGGGAGCAAACAGG